UUAAUUAAAAAGCAUAAUCCACUGGGCCUGGUAGUUCUAAAUCAAUUAGUAUCCACGUAAUAUACAUGUAAUGGAAGUGCGAAGACCCCCAAUGUCACUAGCAUGCAUAGCCUAAUAGCCACCUGAUCAAGCUGCGCACGGAGAUGCCUAGCAUCACAAAUGUAUACAAGAACAAUGAAGAAAAUUUUAGUGAAAGCAGAAACACAUUUCCCGAUUGCCUUUGCAUAAAAAUCCGCUUACAUAGUCUCAACUAAAAGUGUUUGUAAUACAAUGAAUAAAAAUAGGCAGCAACUGGUAAUAGCUUAACUGCCAUGACCUAAAAUAACAUCAGAAGAGAAAAUAACAGCAAGCAAAUGACAAGAUAUUGCAAGCAAUUACACAAACGCUCACACAGAAGCAGAGAAUAUUGGAUUCUUUUAAUCAAGAUGACAACAAAAGAGUCCAUAUGCAAAACAACUAGGGCUGCAAACGAACCGAGUCGAGUCGAGUUUUGGGCCAAUCGAGCCGAGUCUCGACUAAAUUUUACCAAGCUUGAGCUCGAACUCAAGCCGGCAAUUUUCGAGCUCGAGCUCGACUCGAAUCAAUUCAAGCCGAGCUCGAGCUCAAAAAAAAUUAAAAAAAAUUAUUUUAUUUUUUAAAAAAUAAAUAAAAUAAUAUAUUUUUUAAUAAAUAAUAAAAAUAUUAAGGAUAUAUAUGUAAUUUUACUAUUAAAAUAAAAAAAAUAUAUACUUAAAAAUAAAAAAUAUAUAUAAAUAUACUUAAAAUAAAAAAAAUAAAAAAUAUUAUAUAUAUACUCGAGCUCGCGAGCUAACAAGCUUAAUAUUUUGAGUUCGAUUUUGAUCGAGCUCGACUCGAGCUUGACUCAAGCCGCUCGCGAGCGGCUCGAUUCGUUUGCAACCCUAAAAACAACAAACAAGAGCAUAAAGUGCUCCAAACACAUAUUGAAAGCAUCCUUACACCAAAAAAAUAGCAAGCUACAUCACGAAAGAGGCUAGGCAACAUAAAAAGUAACAACAGUAAACUUGACAGAAGUGGUUUUCCUAAUAUGAUCAGAUGAAUGCUUAAUAUAGCACAAAAGCCUUUUUCCUUUGGCCUCAUUAGCAACGUAAUAGCUCAAUCUAGCAUGUUGCAGAAAGAGAAGAAUCAAACAACACCAUUAGCAUAAACGGAAUCAUAGAUGCAAACAUCGUAGAGGUAUAAAAAAAACCAAGCUACACUACAUCUUGUUCAUCGAGCGCAUAAAGAUGAAAAGUAGCAAGACCAAUAAGGCGCACAACUUCAUCGCCAAUAACCAGAAUAUUCAUAGAGCCAGAGUCAUCUUUAAUUGAUAGAGCAAUAUAGACCCUGCAAUCAACAGCAAUCAUGCAUAAAGCUAGACCAACAUCAUGGACAAAUAGUAGCAGGAGAACAAUAGAACAAGAAUACCUAGGGAAAAUAUACAUUUGUCGACCACAACACUUGCACACAAUUCCCAAAG
RNAcentral lists this long non-coding RNA (1477 nucleotides) under Coffea arabica (coffee). Its description in RNAcentral is "long non-coding RNA (CARA_LNC003804)". The record is from RNAcentral. Lineage: Eukaryota; Viridiplantae; Streptophyta; Magnoliopsida; Gentianales; Rubiaceae.